RNAcentral lists this ribosomal RNA (671 nucleotides) under uncultured bacterium. RNAcentral's name for it is "bacterial SSU rRNA". It matches the Rfam family "Bacterial small subunit ribosomal RNA", at positions 152 to 810 of the family's 1533-position model. The record is from RNAcentral.
GGAAACAGGUGCUAAUACCGUAUAACACUAUUUUCCGCAUGGAAGAAAGUUGAAAGGCGCUUUUGCGUCACUGAUGGAUGGACCCGCGGUGCAUUAGCUAGUUGGUGAGGUAACGGCUCACCAAGGCCACGAUGCAUAGCCGACCUGAGAGGGUGAUCGGCCACAUUGGGACUGAGACACGGCCCAGACUCCUACGGGAGGCAGCAGUAGGGAAUCUUCGGCAAUGGACGAAAGUCUGACCGAGCAACGCCGCGUGAGUGAAGAAGGUUUUCGGAUCGUAAAACUCUGUUGUUAGAGAAGAACAAGGAUGAGAGUAAAAUGUUCAUCCCUUGACGGUAUCUAACCAGAAAGCCACGGCUAACUACGUGCCAGCAGCCGCGGUAAUACGUAGGUGGCAAGCGUUGUCCGGAUUUAUUGGGCGUAAAGCGAGCGCAGGCGGUUUCUUAAGUCUGAUGUGAAAGCCCCCGGCUCAACCGGGGAGGGUCAUUGGAAACUGGGAGACUUGAGUGCAGAAGAGGAGAGUGGAAUUCCAUGUGUAGCGGUGAAAUGCGUAGAUAUAUGGAGGAACACCAGUGGCGAAGGCGGCUCUCUGGUCUGUAACUGACGCUGAGGCUCGAAAGCGUGGGGAGCGAACAGGAUUAGAUACCCUGGUAGUCCACGCCGUAAACGAU